UUUCCGUAGGUGAACCUGCGGAAGGAUCAUUCAUAAUAAAGUGUUUUAUGGCACUUUUUAAAAAUCCAUAUCCACCUUGUGUGCAAUGUUAGAUCUCGUCAAUCUUGGCGAGAUUUUUAUACAUCAACUCAUUCUUUAACUAAUUUGUCUGAAAAAUAUUAUGAAUACUUAAUUCAAAAUACAACUUUCAACAACGGAUCUCUUGGCUCUCGCACCGAUGAAGAACGCAGC
This 231-nucleotide unclassified non-coding RNA is filed under the name plant metagenome. Its description in RNAcentral is "partial contains small subunit ribosomal RNA, internal transcribed spacer 1, and 5.8S ribosomal RNA". The stretch from base 183 to 231 matches the Rfam family "5.8S ribosomal RNA", at positions 1 to 49 of the family's 154-position model. The record is from RNAcentral.